GACGAACGCUGGCGGCGUGCUUAACACAUGCAAGUCGAACGGAAAGGCCCUGCUUUUGUGGGGUGCUCGAGUGGCGAACGGGUGAGUAACACGUGAGUAACCUGCCCUUGACUUUGGGAUAACUUCAGGAAACUGGGGCUAAUACCGGAUAGGAGCUCCUGCUGCAUGGUGGGGGUUGGAAAGUUUCGGCGGUUGGGGAUGGACUCGCGGCUUAUCAGCUUGUUGGUGGGGUAGUGGCUUACCAAGGCUUUGACGGGUAGCCGGCCCGAGAGGGUGACCGGCCACAUUGGGACUGAGAUACGGCCCAGACUCCUACGGGAGGCAGCAGUAGGGAAUAUUGCACAAUGGGCGGAAGCCUGAUGCAGCAACGCCGCGUGCGGGAUGACGGCCUUCGGGUUGUAAACCGCUUUCGCCUGUGACGAAGCGUGAGUGACGGUAAUGGGUAAAGAAGCACCGGCUAACUACGUG
Molecule: ribosomal RNA, 468 nt
Filed under: uncultured bacterium
Lineage: Bacteria
Description: partial 16S ribosomal RNA
Rfam family: Bacterial small subunit ribosomal RNA
Source: RNAcentral